Long non-coding RNA from Symphalangus syndactylus (siamang), 208 nucleotides. RefSeq lists it as uncharacterized. The record is from RefSeq and is a predicted model, not a curated record. NCBI's taxonomy places the organism in Eukaryota, Metazoa, Chordata, Mammalia, Primates, Hylobatidae.
AGAAGCUGAUACAAAUUCUUGACACAAUGGAAGUACUAAAAAAAAUAAUGGUCUCAUGUGGCCCCAGCAUUGCAGUCUUUCUACCUGGGACCACUGUCUACACACUGAAUCCCUCUCUGCUAGAGGGUAAUGAUGGGAUGAUAUGGAGGAAGGGAGGAAAAGAUGGAGUUGGAGACACCGAGGGAAGACAAUUGAAGAAGACGUGUCC